CGAAGAAGGACGUUUCCUUCCCCUUCUGCCAUUGUAAGUUUUCCUGAGGCCUCCCCAGCCCUGUAGAACUGUGAGUCAGUUGAACCUCUUUCUUUUAUAAAUUACCCAGUCUUGGGUAUGUCCUUACAGCAGCGUGAGAACGACCUUCCCCGUUGACUCCAUCUCAGCCUCGGCCUCACGGCUUCAGUCUGUUCUUAUUUCCUCUCAUUCCUUCAGUGCGCUCAUGGGUCUGAUUCACAGAGCUGGAUCCUGAGGUCCCUCCUGUAGACUCACCUGUGACCUCGCCUGCCAAGGAGAUGCCCAGUGAUAUUUAAUCUUGCAUAAGCCCAGAACAUCUCCAGUUCAAUCCUUCCCGGCUCCAGAGGCUGGCUUACUGGGGGACUGUUUGAGGAAUGGGUUGGGAUGCAGAUUCCUGGGACCCAACAGAGAUGCUUGACUCAGGGAUGGAUAUUUAAUAAGCUCUUCUCCCUGGUGCCUGGAGCAUAAUUAGGCUCGGGAGCUGUGACCUGGUCCUGGGUGUGGGGUAUACCACAGACAUCCUGCACAUGUGUGCUGGGCAGGUGUCCUUUCUGGAUUUGAAUCUCUA
RNAcentral lists this long non-coding RNA (586 nucleotides) under Homo sapiens (human). RNAcentral describes it as "non-protein coding lnc-ARHGEF7-5:1". The record is from RNAcentral. Lineage: Eukaryota; Metazoa; Chordata; Mammalia; Primates; Hominidae.